Molecule: ribosomal RNA, 271 nt
Filed under: uncultured bacterium
Lineage: Bacteria
Description: partial 16S ribosomal RNA
Rfam family: Bacterial small subunit ribosomal RNA
Source: RNAcentral
UACGAAGGGGGCUAGCGUUGUUCGGAAUCACUGGGCGUAAAGGGCGCGUAGGCGGCCGUUCAAGUCGGGGGUGAAAGCCUGUGGCUCAACCACAGAAUUGCCUUCGAUACUGGACGGCUCGAGACCGGAAGAGGUCGGUGGAACUGCGAGUGUAGAGGUGAAAUUCGUAGAUAUUCGCAAGAACACCAGUGGCGAAGGCGGCUGACUGGUCCGGUUCUGACGCUGAGGCGCGAAAGCUAGGGGAGCGAACAGGAUUAGAUACCCCUGUAGU